GAUCCUGGCUCAGAUUGAACGCUGGCGGCGUGCUUAACACAUGCAAGUCGAACGCGAAAGGGACUUCGGUCCUGAGUAAAGUGGCGCACGGGUGAGUAACGCGUGGAUAAUCUGCCCUUAUGAUCGGGAUAACAGUUGGAAACGGCUGCUAAUACCGGAUACGCUCAAAAUGAACUUUUUGAGGAAAGAUGGCCUCUGCUUGCAUGCUAUCACGUAAGGAUGAGUCCGCGUCCCAUUAGCUUGUGGCGGGUAACGCCCACCAAGGCAACGAUGGGUAGCCGAUUUGAGAGGAUGAUCGGCCACACUGGAACUGAAACACGGUCCAGACUCCUACGGGAGGCAGCAGUGGGGAAUAUUGCGCAAUGGGCGAAAGCCUGACGCAGCGACGCCGCGUGAGGGAUGAAGGUUUUCGGAUCGUAAACCUCUGUCAGAAGGGAAGAAACUACGUUGUGCUAAUCAGCAGCGUACUGACGGUACCUUCAAAGGAAGCACCGGCUAACUCCGUGCCAGCCGCGGC
This 517-nucleotide ribosomal RNA is filed under the name uncultured bacterium. RNAcentral's name for it is "bacterial SSU rRNA". It matches the Rfam family "Bacterial small subunit ribosomal RNA", at positions 15 to 518 of the family's 1533-position model. The record is from RNAcentral.